GUGCUCGCUUUGGCAGCACAUAUACUAAAAUUGGAACUAUACAGAGAAGAUUAGUCUGGCCCCUGCAUAAGGAUGACAUGCCAGGCAUAGUGGCUCAGGCCUAUAAU
Molecule: non-coding RNA, 107 nt
Organism: Otolemur garnettii (small-eared galago)
Lineage: Eukaryota; Metazoa; Chordata; Mammalia; Primates; Galagidae
Source: Rfam